GGCUUUGCUCAGUGGCAGUAUUGUAGCCAAUGAGGUUUAUCUGAGGCGCGGUUAUUGCUAACUGAU
This 66-nucleotide small nuclear RNA is filed under the name Tupaia belangeri chinensis (Chinese tree shrew). RNAcentral describes it as "Tupaia chinensis (Chinese tree shrew) U4 spliceosomal RNA". It matches the Rfam family "U4 spliceosomal RNA", at positions 1 to 66 of the family's 138-position model. From Rfam's summary of the family: U4 small nuclear RNA (U4 snRNA) is a component of the major U2-dependent spliceosome. The structure of U4 snRNA from yeast and human has been reported. Lineage: Eukaryota; Metazoa; Chordata; Mammalia; Scandentia; Tupaiidae. The record is from Rfam by way of RNAcentral.